AUUGAACGCUGGCGGCAUGCCUUACACAUGCAAGUCGAACGGCAGCACGGGUGCUUGCACCUGGUGGCGAGUGGCGAACGGGUGAGUAAUACAUCGGAACAUGUCCUGUAGUGGGGGAUAGCCCGGCGAAAGCCGGAUUAAUACCGCAUACGAUCUACGGAUGAAAGCGGGGGACCUUCGGGCCUCGCGCUAUAGGGUUGGCCGAUGGCUGAUUAGCUAGUUGGUGGGGUAAAGGCCUACCAAGGCGACGAUCAGUAGCUGGUCUGAGAGGACGACCAGCCACACUGGGACUGAGACACGGCCCAGACUCCUACGGGAGGCAGCAGUGGGGAAUUUUGGACAAUGGGCGAAAGCCUGAUCCAGCAAUGCCGCGUGUGUGAAGAAGGCCUUCGGGUUGUAAAGCACUUUUGUCCGGAAAGAAAUCCUUGGCCCUAAUACGGUCGGGGGAUGACGGUACCGGAAGAAUAAGCACCGGCUAACUACG
Molecule: ribosomal RNA, 484 nt
Filed under: uncultured bacterium
Lineage: Bacteria
Description: partial 16S ribosomal RNA
Rfam family: Bacterial small subunit ribosomal RNA
Source: RNAcentral